GGUGAAAAGCACCCCGGAAGGGGAGUGAAAUAGAACCUGAAACCGUGUGCUUACAAGUAGUCAGAGCCCGUUAAUGGGUGAUGGCGUGCCUUUUGUAGAAUGAACCGGCGAGUUACGAUUUGAUGCAAGGUUAAGCAGUAAAUGUGGAGCCGUAGCGAAAGCGAGUCUGAAUAGGGCGUUUAGUAUUUGGUCGUAGACCCGAAACCAGGUGAUCUACCCUUGGUCAGGUUGAAGUUCAGGUAACACUGAAUGGAGGACCGAACCGACUUACGUUGAAAAGUGAGCGGAUGAACUGAGGGUAGCGGAGAAAUUCCAAUCGAACCUGGAGAUAGCUGGUUCUCUCCGAAAUAGCUUUAGGGCUAGCCUCAAGUGAUGAUUAUUGGAGGUAGAGCACUGUUUGGACGAGGGGCCCCUCUCGGGUUACCGAAUUCAGACAAACUCCGAAUGCCAAUUAAUUUAACUUGGGAGUCAGAACAUGGGUGAUAAGGUCCGUGUUCGAAAGGGAAACAGCCCAGACCACCAGCUAAGGUCCCAAAAUAUAUGUUAAGUGGAAAAGGAUGUGGCGUUGCCCAGACAACUAGGAUGUUGGCUUAGAAGCAGCCAUCAUUUAAAGAGUGCGUAAUAGCUCACUAGUCGAGUGACACUGCGCCGAAAAUGUACCGGGGCUAAACAUAUUACCGAAGCUGUGGAUUGUCCUUUGGACAAUGGUAGGAGAGCGUUCUAAGGGCGUUGAAGCAUGAUCGUAAGGACAUGUGGAGCGCUUAGAAGUGAGAAUGCCGGUGUGAGUAGCGAAAGACGGGUGAGAAUCCCGUCCACCGAUUGACUAAGGUUUCCAGAGGAAGGCUCGUCCGCUCUGGGUUAGUCGGGUCCUAAGCUGAGGCCGACAGGCGUAGGCGAUGGAUAACAGGUUGAUAUUCCUGUACCACCUAUAAUCGUUUUAAUCGAUGGGGGGACGCAGUAGGAUAGGCGAAGCGUGCGAUUGGAUUGCACGUCUAAGCAGUAAGGCUGAGUAUUAGGCAAAUCCGGUACUCAUUAAGGCUGAGCUGUGAUGGGGAGAAGACAUUGUGUCUUCGAGUCGUUGAUUUCACACUGCCGAGAAAAGCCUCUAGAUAGAAAAUAGGUGCCCGUACCGCAAACCGACACAGGUAGUCAAGAUGAGAAUUCUAAGGUGAGCGAGCGAACUCUCGUUAAGGAACUCGGCAAAAUGACCCCGUAACUUCGGGAGAAGGGGUGCUCUUUAGGGUUAACGCCCAGAAGAGCCGCAGUGAAUAGGCCCAAGCGACUGUUUAUCAAAAACACAGGUCUCUGCUAAACCGUAAGGUGAUGUAUAGGGGCUGACGCCUGCCCGGUGCUGGAAGGUUAAGAGGAGUGGUUAGCUUCUGCGAAGCUACGAAUCGAAGCCCCAGUAAACGGCGGCCGUAACUAUAACGGUCCUAAGGUAGCGAAAUUCCUUGUCGGGUAAGUUCCGACCCGCACGAAAGGCGUAACGAUUUGGGCACUGUCUCAACGAGAGACUCGGUGAAAUCAUAGUACCUGUGAAGAUGCAGGUUACCCGCGACAGGACGGAAAGACCCCGUGGAGCUUUACUGUAGCCUGAUAUUGAAAUUCGGCACAGCUUGUACAGGAUAGGUAGGAGCCUUUGAAACGUGAGCGCUAGCUUACGUGGAGGCGCUGGUGGGAUACUACCCUAGCUGUGUUGGCUUUCUAACCCGCACCACUUAUCGUGGUGGGAGACAGUGUCAGGCGGGCAGUUUGACUGGGGCGGUCGCCUCCUAAAAGGUAACGGAGGCGCUCAAAGGUUCCCUCAGAAUGGUUGGAAAUCAUUCAUAGAGUGUAAAGGCAUAAGGGAGCUUGACUGCGAGACCUACAAGUCGAGCAGGGUCGAAAGACGGACUUAGUGAUCCGGUGGUUCCGCAUGGAAGGGCCAUCGCUCAACGGAUAAAAGCUACCCCGGGGAUAACAGGCUUAUCUCCCCCAAGAGUUCACAUCGACGGGGAGGUUUGGCACCUCGAUGUCGGCUCAUCGCAUCCUGGGGCUGUAGUCGGUCCCAAGGGUUGGGCUGUUCGCCCAUUAAAGCGGUACGCGAGCUGGGUUCAGAACGUCGUGAGACAGUUCGGUCCCUAUCCGUCGUGGGCGUAGGAAAUUUGAGAGGAGCUGUCCUUAGUACGAGAGGACCGGGAUGGACAUACCUCUGGUGUACCAGUUGUCGUGCCAACGGCAUAGCUGGGUAGCUAUGUGUGGACGGGAUAAGUGCUGAAAGCAUCUAAGCAUGAAGCCCCCCUCAAGAUGAGAUUUCCCAACUUCGGUUAUAAGAUCCCUCAAAGAUGAUGAGGUUAAUAGGUUCGAGGUGGAAG
RNAcentral lists this ribosomal RNA (2354 nucleotides) under Staphylococcus aureus. Its description in RNAcentral is "partial 23S ribosomal RNA". It matches the Rfam family "Bacterial large subunit ribosomal RNA", at positions 513 to 2873 of the family's 2925-position model. Lineage: Bacteria; Bacillati; Bacillota; Bacilli; Caryophanales; Staphylococcaceae. The record is from RNAcentral.